RNAcentral lists this transfer RNA (84 nucleotides) under Candidatus Adlerbacteria bacterium RIFCSPHIGHO2_02_FULL_52_17. RNAcentral describes it as "tRNA-Leu". It matches the Rfam family "tRNA". Rfam says of the family: Transfer RNA (tRNA) molecules are approximately 80 nucleotides in length. The record is from RNAcentral. Lineage: Bacteria; Candidatus Adleribacteriota. RNAcentral also lists the same sequence under 2 other names.
GCCGGAGUGGCGUAAUGGCAGCCGCGCACGACUCAAAAUCGUGUCCCGCAAGGGGUGUGGGUUCGAGUCCCACCUCCGGCACAA